This 253-nucleotide ribosomal RNA is filed under the name uncultured bacterium. RNAcentral's name for it is "partial 16S ribosomal RNA". It matches the Rfam family "Bacterial small subunit ribosomal RNA", at positions 524 to 776 of the family's 1533-position model. The record is from RNAcentral.
GACAGAGGAUGCAAGCGUUAUCCGGAAUGAUUGGGAGUAAAGCGUCUGUAGGUGGCUUUUCAAGUCCGCCAUCAAAUCCCAGGGCUCAACCCUGGACAGGCGGUGGAAACUACCAAGUUGGAGUACGGUAGGGGCAGAGGGAAUUUUCGGUGGAGUGGUGAAAUGCAUUGAGAUCGGAAAGAACACCAACGGCGAAAGCACUCUGCUGGGCCGACACUGACACUGAGAGACGAAAGCUAGGGGAGCAAAUGGG